UAUGUGAUCGUCUCUCGCAUAUCAAUAAGCGGAGGAAAAGAAACUAACAAGGAUUCCCCUAGUAACGGAGAGUGAAGCGGGAAGAGCUCAAAUUUGAAAUCUUAAAGGGUUUCCCUUUACGAAUUGUAGUUUAAAGAAGUGUUUUCUGUUGAGGUUUUGGUAAAAGUUCUUUGGAAUAGGACAUCAUAGAGGGUGAGAAUCCCGUAUUUGACCUUUACUUUCAACUUUGUGAUACACUUUCAAAGAGUCGGAUUGUUUGGGAAUGCAGUCCAAAAUGGGUGGUAAAUUUCAUCUAAAGCUAAAUAUUGGCGAGAGACCGAUAGCGAACAAGUACCGUGAGGGAAAGAUGAAAAGAACUUUGAAAAGAGAGUUAAACAGUACGUGAAAUUGUCAAAAGGGAAGCGUUUGACACCAGUGUUGUUUUUCUGAAAAUCAAUUAAAGAACUGUUUAUGCUAAGCUGUUUAGACUUUAUCAGCUAUCUGUUUAGUUUUGAGCUUUUCUUUAAUGCACUUUUCAGUUAACAGGUCAACAUCAAUUUCUUUUGCUGUAAAAAAGCUUGAGGAAGGUGGCUUGAGAUUCGUCUUAAGUGUUUAUAGCCUCUUGCCUAUGCAGUCGGAGAGAUUGAGGUCUGCAGCGUAGAUCCUUCGGGGCUAAAUGCAUUUGUGCUAAGUUAUAGCAUUUUAUAGACAACUUGUUGACUAUGAUUUGUCUUGUAGCUUACUCGCUUAUGUUAUUUUACCUACGCUUAGGAUGUUGAUAUGCAUGACUGAUAU
This 774-nucleotide ribosomal RNA is filed under the name uncultured Neocallimastigales. Its description in RNAcentral is "partial large subunit ribosomal RNA". It matches the Rfam family "Eukaryotic large subunit ribosomal RNA", at positions 24 to 640 of the family's 3401-position model. Lineage: Eukaryota; Fungi; Neocallimastigomycota; Neocallimastigomycetes; Neocallimastigales. The record is from RNAcentral.